RNAcentral lists this long non-coding RNA (801 nucleotides) under Cyanistes caeruleus (blue tit). RNAcentral describes it as "lncRNA (ENSCCEG00000002160.1)". The record is from RNAcentral. Lineage: Eukaryota; Metazoa; Chordata; Aves; Passeriformes; Paridae.
GUUUCCUUAAGAGCCUCCAGCUGUUCUGCAUUUGGGGUUGAGUGCUCCUCACUGCCCUCCCUGCUGCUCCUGCUUUAGUCCCAGGGAGCUCAGUGUAAGCAGCUGUGCUUGGAGGAGCUGCCCUGUUUUGGCAGGAGCAGAUGAAACUGGAUUUAUGGAUAAAAACGGCCAAAUGACAUCUGAAAAUUUUGUUUCCCUUUGAAAUUCUUGAUGCAUUUCAGCAUCUCCAGGAGGGCAUCUCCUCUCUUGUGUUGCCAGGACCUGGCAGCCAUUCAGGACUGCUUCUAUUGUAUUUACGUGGAAUUUGGUCACCUGUGGCUUCAGGCAGCCCAAAUCUCUCAGGAUGUGCAGGACAGGAGUGACCCUUACCACGCUGCCAUUGUUCCUGCCUGCCUCAUCUGUCCCUAUGGAUCUGGAGCUGACUGUGGCAUGUUUAGAAGUGGAACUCAAAAGCCAAGGGUGGCUGUGGUGGUUCUGGCAGUGGCCCAGAUCACCUUUAUGGACUGAGAGGUGAAAUCACCAAAGCUGUGCUUGGAUGGUGCAUCCCUGUCUCCUCUCCAUGGUUUGGUCAUGGCUUUUAGCAGCUCUGGACUGAAUUUGGCAGAACUUUCCUCAUCCACCCCUGCUGGGUCAGUCAGGCAGUUUGGCAACUUCUGCUCUUUUUUCCUUUGGGAAUUUGCACUUUGUCUUGGAGCUUCCCAGGGUCUGUCCUUGCUUGCAGGAAUUCAGAGUGGUCGAUAUCUUGCUGGCACAACCCACAGGCUCUCCCAGCUGCUCCUGGGCAGAGCUGCUGGCAGCAGC